CCAAAGCAGCAGACUUCUGUUCUAGAGACCAAAACAUCCCUAACAGAUCACUCUUCCCAUGAUGACUCCAACAAAGAUGCUGUCGUCACACAGGUAUUUACCAUCAAAGGGUUUUCCCUAGUGAACUAUCCCGAAAGUGAUGAGACGGAUGAGUAUAUUAAAGACAACCCUCCAACUCCACACUGUGAUGUUGUUCGAAAGAAGACGAGGAAUGGAAACAUUCAGGUGGUUGGAGUAGCUGAUUUUUCUGAUCCUCUGAUUGACUCAAAUGAGAGUAUAAUAGAUGAAACUGAUGAGGAUUCUAGUCUGCAGUCAGACAAUGAAGUUGUUCCAAAAAAU
Molecule: long non-coding RNA, 339 nt
Organism: Rhinichthys klamathensis goyatoka
Lineage: Eukaryota; Metazoa; Chordata; Actinopteri; Cypriniformes; Leuciscidae
Exons: 3
Source: RefSeq, a predicted model, not a curated record